Molecule: long non-coding RNA, 320 nt
Filed under: Medicago truncatula (barrel medic)
Lineage: Eukaryota; Viridiplantae; Streptophyta; Magnoliopsida; Fabales; Fabaceae
Description: lncRNA gene39215
Source: RNAcentral
UCUUCAACCACCGAAACCAUAGAGGGUUCUUCCUUGUCUCUUAAGCGCGUAAACAACAUCCAUAGCAGUCACAGUUUUCCUCCUCGCAUGCUCAGUGUAAGUAACAGCAUCUCUUAUAACAUUCUCCAAGAAGAUCUUCAACACACCUCUUGUUUCCUCAUAGAUCAAUCCACUGAUUCUUUUCACACCUCCUCUUCUCGCCAAUCGACGAAUCGCUGGCUUUGUGAUUCCUUGGAUGUUGUCACGGAGAACCUUGCGAUGUCUCUUUGCACCCCCCUUUCCUAAUCCUUUACCUCCCUUUCCACGACCAGACAUUUUUG